GGGCCGUUAGCUCAAUUGGCAGAGCAACUGACUCUUAAUCAGUAGGUUGAAGGUUCGAUUCCUUCACGGCUCACCA
This 76-nucleotide transfer RNA is filed under the name Chitinophagaceae bacterium. RNAcentral's name for it is "tRNA-Lys". It matches the Rfam family "tRNA". Rfam says of the family: Transfer RNA (tRNA) molecules are approximately 80 nucleotides in length. Their secondary structure includes four short double-helical elements and three loops (D, anti-codon, and T loops). RNAcentral also lists the same sequence under 11 other names. The record is from RNAcentral. Lineage: Bacteria; Pseudomonadati; Bacteroidota; Chitinophagia; Chitinophagales; Chitinophagaceae.